This 151-nucleotide small RNA is filed under the name Mytilus galloprovincialis (Mediterranean mussel). Lineage: Eukaryota; Metazoa; Mollusca; Bivalvia; Mytilida; Mytilidae. The record is from RNAcentral.
GGAGAGUUGUCUCAUUGGCACUCAUACCACAUCUUUAUAAAUGUAAAUUUUUUGUUGUGUUUGAUAUAAAAAUAAGGAGAUGUGGUAUGAUUGACAAUUAGACAAAUAAAAAUAAGGAGGUGCGGUAUGAUUGCCAAUGAGACAACUAUGC